Molecule: non-coding RNA, 961 nt
Organism: Microcebus murinus (gray mouse lemur)
Lineage: Eukaryota; Metazoa; Chordata; Mammalia; Primates; Cheirogaleidae
Source: RefSeq, a predicted model, not a curated record
CUGGCAAAGUUUGAGAUGGGUGUUGCUUCUUCAGACUGGGUCCCAAAGAGAGUGGGAUGUAGAGCAGAAUCCCAGAUGACCUGUGAUGGACCUGUUAUCCCAGAUGACCUGUGAUGGACCCGUUAUCCCAGAUGACCUGUGAUGGACCCGUUAUCCCAGAUAAGCAAAAAGUUUGCCUUUGCGGCUUCAAGCCACUGAGAUUUGGGGCUCAUUUGGUACUUCAGCUGACCGCUGACAGACGUCCAUGAGUUAAAUUUAGCAGCUGAGGCUCUGCCCAUAGGUGUAGGGAGAGUUGUUCGGUGCUGCCUGUACCUAGAAGGAACUCAGAUUCUCCUGUCACAAGAGGCCCAUGACCACAGGGUUAAAAACACAACAACAGGAAUAAAAACACACCCAGUUCUUAGAAAAGGAGACCUCCUGAUCACAGAGGAAGUCAUUUCCAUAAAGGGAUUCCUGACUGCUUGCUCAAGCUGGGAAUAGGCCUAUGAAGUUCCAAUUAAAAGGUGUCAAAUGGCUUGUGGAGGUGGCAUAUACUUCGCACUGGGGCCUGAGAAGUCAGCAUGGCCUAUACUAGAGAGUGAGAAUGUGCCCAAAGAGAGCUGCAUUUGGGAAGUGACAGCAUCCCCAUUGAUGCCAGAGCAAGGAAUGUGUGAGCAUUUUCCCUGGCUUGGAUCUGGAGAGAGACUUGGCCUGGAACUAUAUCAAAAGCCGUCCAAGGGAACCCUCAGGGAGGGACAUCUGCUUGACCUUCCUGGGUGGCAAACCACCAGGUUAGGGUGAUCACUGCAUCUGCUUGGCAGGAGUGCCGCUGUACGGAGGAGAAGCCUCCCGUAACCCACUACAGCCAUCACCUGAUAAGGCCCUUACGCUGACGGUUGACAUUUAGGCAUGAGCAGGUUAACCACAAGCAAUAUCCUACUUUGGCAAAGACAUCCAGUUAUUUUAACAUCUCCAUAUUGUA